This 218-nucleotide long non-coding RNA is filed under the name Physcomitrium patens. Its description in RNAcentral is "long non-coding RNA (PPAT_LNC007490)". The record is from RNAcentral. Lineage: Eukaryota; Viridiplantae; Streptophyta; Bryopsida; Funariales; Funariaceae.
AGAGUAAUCAUACCCACUUCAUUAAAAUCCCGAUUCAUCAGUACAACACUGACUUCAGCAACAAUUGCCUCAGUCUUUCCAAAACCCUAUGAAGAAAAAAUCCAAUUCUCUAUUUUUUUUCCCCACCCGAAGCAUGAAGCUAGCUCUCCGACUCUUCUAAAAACUUAUUCUCUCUCCUUCCAUUUCUUAACCUAUCCUCUCCUUUAACCCUAAUUCUC